UGGGGAAUAUUGGACAAUGGGGGCAACCCUGAUCCAGCCAUGCCGCGUGUGUGAAGAAGGCCUUUUGGUUGUAAAGCACUUUAGGCAGUGAAGAAGACUCCAUGGUUAAUACCCAUGGACGAUGACAUCAGCUGCAGAAUAAGCACCGGCUAACUCUGUGCCAGCAGCUGCGGUAAUACAGAGGGUGCAAGCGUUAAUCGGAAUUACUGGGCGUAAAGCGAGCGUAGGUGGCUUGAUAAGUCAGAUGUGAAAGCCCCGGGCUUAACCUGGGAACGGCAUCUGAUACUGUUAGGCUAGAGUAGGUGAGAGGAAGGUAGAAUUCCAGGUGUAGCGGUGAAAUGCGUAGAGAUCUGGAGGAAUACCGAUGGCGAAGGCAGCCUUCUGGCAUCAUACUGACACUGAGGUUCGAAAGCGUGGGUAGCAAACAG
Molecule: ribosomal RNA, 428 nt
Filed under: uncultured bacterium
Lineage: Bacteria
Description: bacterial SSU rRNA
Rfam family: Bacterial small subunit ribosomal RNA
Source: RNAcentral